AAAAAGGGCUUCUGUCGUGAUUGGCACAGGGAGGGUGAGGUGUUCUCAUCCUCUCUGCGGAAUCGCUAUCAAGAGAUUUCGGAAGCACAAUUUUUAAAUCCCGAGGCUGCUGAUAACCUGCUGUUUCGGCGCCUCA
This 136-nucleotide small nuclear RNA is filed under the name Fundulus heteroclitus (mummichog). RNAcentral's name for it is "U11 spliceosomal RNA (ENSFHEG00000013110.1)". It matches the Rfam family "U11 spliceosomal RNA". Lineage: Eukaryota; Metazoa; Chordata; Actinopteri; Cyprinodontiformes; Fundulidae. The record is from RNAcentral.